RNAcentral lists this ribosomal RNA (253 nucleotides) under uncultured bacterium. Its description in RNAcentral is "partial 16S ribosomal RNA". It matches the Rfam family "Bacterial small subunit ribosomal RNA", at positions 524 to 776 of the family's 1533-position model. The record is from RNAcentral.
UACGAAGGGGGCUAGCGUUGCUCGGAAUCACUGGGCGUAAAGGGUGCGUAGGCGGGUCUUUAAGUCAGGGGUGAAAUCCUGGAGCUCAACUCCAGAACUGCCUUUGAUACUGAAUAUCUUGAGUUCGGGAGAGGUGAGUGGAACUGCGAGUGUAGAGGUGAAAUUCGUAGAUAUUCGCAAGAACACCAGUGGCGAAGGCGGCUUCCUGGACACCAACUGACGCUGAGACGCGAAAGCGUGGGGAGCAAACAGG